RNAcentral lists this ribosomal RNA (768 nucleotides) under uncultured sponge symbiont. RNAcentral describes it as "bacterial SSU rRNA". It matches the Rfam family "Bacterial small subunit ribosomal RNA", at positions 9 to 795 of the family's 1533-position model. The record is from RNAcentral.
GAGUUUGAUCCUGGCUCAGGAUGAACGCUGGCGGCGUGCCUAAUGCAUGCAAGUCGAACGAGGUCGCUCCUUCGGGGGCUAAACCUAGUGGCAGACGGCUGAGUAACACGUGGGUGACCUGCCCCCGAGAACGGGAUAACUGUGGGAAACUGCAGCUAAUACCGUAUACAUUCCCCUGCUUCAAGGCGUGGGAAGAAAGAUUUAUCGCUCGAGGAUGGGCCCGCGCCCUAUCAGGUAGUUGGUGCGGUAACGGCGCACCAAGCCGAAAACGGGUAUCUGGUGUGAGAGCAUGACUAGACAGAGGGGGACUGAGACACGGCCCCCACUCCUCCGGGAGGCAGCAGCAAGGGAUCGUGCACAAUGGGCGAAAGCCUGAUGCCGCGACGCCGCGUGAGGGAUGACGGCUUUCGAGUUGUAAACCUCUUUUCUCAGGGAAGAGAGAGGACGUCACCUGAGGAAUAAGUCAUGGCUAACUACGUGCCAGCAGCAGCGGUAAUACGUAGGUGGCAAGCGUUGUCCGGAAUUACUGGGCGUAAAGGGUCCGUAGGCGGUUCGGUCAGUCUUCUGUGAAAGCUCCAGGCUCACCUUGGAGUCGUCGGGAGAAACUGCCGAACUAGAGACUGUCAGAGGCAGGUGGAAUUCCCGGUGUAGUGGUGAAAUACGUAGAUAUCGGGAGGAACCCCAGUGGCGAAAGCGGCCUGCUGGGACAGUUCUGACGCUAAGGGACUAAAGCGUGGGGAGCGAACCGGAUUAGAUACCCUGGUAGUC